CCUACGGGUGGCAGCAGUGAGGAAUCUUGGUCAAUGGGCGAGAGCCUGAACCAGCCAAGUCGCGUGAGGGAGUACUGCCCUAUGGGUUGUAAACCUCUUUUGUCGGGGAGCAAAAGCCGGACGUGUCCGGCUGUGAGAGUACCCGAAGAAAAAGCAUCGGCUAACUCCGUGCCAGCAGCCGCGGUAAUACGGUGGAUGCGAGCGUUAUCCGGAUUUAUUGGGUUUAAAGGGUGCGCAGGCGGAUUUUUAAGUCAGCGGUAAAAUCGUGGGGAUCAACCCCAUCCAGCCGUUGAAACUGGGGAUCUAGAGUGUGCGAGAGGUAUGCGGAAUGCGUGGUGUAGCGGUGAAAUGCAUAGAUAUCACGCAGAACCCCGAUUGCGAAGGCAGCAUACCGGUGCACAACUGACGCUCAGGCACGAAAGCGUGGGUAUCGAACAGGAUUAGAUACCCUAGUAGUC
RNAcentral lists this ribosomal RNA (458 nucleotides) under uncultured bacterium. Its description in RNAcentral is "partial 16S ribosomal RNA". It matches the Rfam family "Bacterial small subunit ribosomal RNA", at positions 338 to 795 of the family's 1533-position model. The record is from RNAcentral.